GGGAUAUGGCUCAGUUGGUAGAGCGAUACGUUCGCAUCGUAUAGGUCAGGGGUUCGAAUCCCCUUAUCUCC
This 71-nucleotide transfer RNA is filed under the name bovine gut metagenome. It matches the Rfam family "tRNA". Rfam says of the family: Transfer RNA (tRNA) molecules are approximately 80 nucleotides in length. The record is from RNAcentral.